Drosophila virilis is the source of this 836-nucleotide non-coding RNA. The record is from RefSeq and is a predicted model, not a curated record. Lineage: Eukaryota; Metazoa; Arthropoda; Insecta; Diptera; Drosophilidae.
CCGAACAGUAUUUGAAACAAAAAGUUUUUGAGAAUACUCUUUAAUCGAAAUUUGUCGAAAUUUAAGUUCCUGCACGAAAGAUUAUACCUUGAUAUCUUAGAUAUAGAGCCAAGUCUUGAAUAACAUGUUAGCUCAACUUUGACUUCCGCUUUAUUGGAGGCGCAAUAUGUUCGACAGAUUUGCCAACUCCAUUCACACACUCUGGCGCACUUGGCGAGUCUAUAAACAAUUCAUUUAUUAUCCUAACACGCUGUGGCUAAAGCCCAAGGAGUAAGCACUGUGAUCUAAUGCUUCAUGCUUGAUUUAGUGGCAGCGGCUGCAAAUCAUCGCCCAGCCAAAAAGGGAUAAAGGCCAUGCAUAUGAAAUAUGAAUAUGAAUAUGCGACUUCUAACACAGGACAAUAAUAUGGAGAACAUGUCGUCUCUGUCGAGCGGGCAAUUGCUCAUAAUUGGUAGUCAAAUAUGUACGCCCUCUGCCGAUUUGUGAACAGAGAGUAUUUACCUUCUCUAGUACUCGCACACACAUGUGGGGGAUGCAGUCAGCUAAGGUUGAUUUGAUAUAUUGGAUGGAUUUGGCGUAGACAAUUUUAUGGGCACUGAAUUUAUUUGAUGUUUGGCAUCAGGUUAUUCUUAUUUUUGUUCCGAUUGCUAAGCGCUGUGCCAAUAAAUUUCAAUCACUCAAUGCCGAAAUCCUUCAGAAUUUAUGUGGCAUAUUAAAAAACGUUUUAUAAAAACUCUUAGAAAUUGGCGCGAUUCAUAUUAAAAAUUAAACGAGCAGAGAUAAAUGAGAAAAAUACUUUUUACAAUGUUCAAUAAAAAGAUACAAAUAAACUAAAA